AACGUAGGUGGCGAGCGUUAUCCGGAUUUACUGGGCGUAAAGCGUGUGCAGGUGGCCUGUUAAGUGGUGUAUGAAAUCGCCCGGCUCAACCGGGCGGGGUUAUGCCAGACUGGCAGGCUAGAGGGUGGGAGAGGGAUGUGGAAUUCCAGGUGUAGCGGUGAAAUGCGUAGAUAUCUGGAGGAAUACCGGUGGCGAAGGCGGCAUCCUGGACCAUAACUGACGCUGAGGCGCGAAAGCUAGGGGAGCAAACGGG
This 253-nucleotide ribosomal RNA is filed under the name uncultured bacterium. RNAcentral describes it as "partial 16S ribosomal RNA". It matches the Rfam family "Bacterial small subunit ribosomal RNA", at positions 524 to 776 of the family's 1533-position model. The record is from RNAcentral.